CCUACGGGUGGCUGCAGUGAGGAAUAUUGGUCAAUGGUCGGGAGACUGAACCAGCCAAGCCGCGUGAGGGAUGAAGGUACAGAGUAUCGUAAACCUCUUUUGUCAGGGAAUAAAGUCGGGCACGUGUCCCCGUUUGAGUGUACCUUAAGAAAAAGCAUCGGCUAACUCCGUGCCAGCAGCCGCGGUAAUACGGAGGAUGCGAGCGUUAUCCGGAUUUAUUGGGUUUAAAGGGUGCGCAGGUGGGCUGUUAAGUCAGGUGUUAAAGCUCGGGGCUCAACCCUCGCCGUGCAUUUGAUACUGGCAGUCUUGAGUUGAGGAGAGGUAUGCGGAAUGCGUGGUGUAGCGGUGAAAUGCUUAGAUAGCGCGAAGAACUCCGAUUGCGAAGGCAGCAUGCC
Molecule: ribosomal RNA, 395 nt
Filed under: uncultured bacterium
Lineage: Bacteria
Description: partial 16S ribosomal RNA
Rfam family: Bacterial small subunit ribosomal RNA
Source: RNAcentral